CGCAUCUGUGCAUGCAGCAUAUCAAUAAGCGGAGGAAAAGGAGCAUACCUACGCUUAGGAUGUUGACACACGCGCGUGCUCGACUCUAUACAUGACUCUGUGCAUAUCAAUAAGCGGAGGAAAAGAGGGCUAUUACCUACGCUUAGGAUGUUGACACACGCGCGUGCUCGACUCUAUACAUGACUCUGUGCAUAUCAAUAAGCGGAGGAAAAGAAACUAACAAGGAUUCCCUUAGUAACGGCGAGUGAAGCGGGAAGAGCUCAAAUUUGAAAUCUUCAAGGUUUUACCUUGACGAAUUGUAGUUUAAAGAAGUGUUUUCUGUUGAAGUUUUGGUAAAAGUUCUUUGGAAUAGGACAUCAUAGAGGGUGAGAAUCCCGUAUUUGACCAUUAUUUUCAGCUGUGUGAUACACUUUCAAAGAGUCGGAUUGUUUGGGAAUGCAGUCCAAAAUGGGUGGUAAAUUUCAUCUAAAGCUAAAUAUUGGCGAGAGACCGAUAGCGAACAAGUACCGUGAGGGAAAGAUGAAAAGAACUUUGAAAAGAGAGUUAAACAGUACGUGAAAUUGUCAAAAGGGAAGCGUUUGACACCAGUGUUGUUUUCUCGAAAAUCAAUUAAAAAGAGUUUAGAUUUUGUUGUGUAUUGACCUUAACAGCUUGCAUUUCAAUUUUCUUGCUUUUUUUAAUGCACUUUUCGUUUAACAAGUCAACAUCAGUUUCUUUUGUUGUAAAAAGGUCAUUGGAAGGUGGCUUUCUUUUCGGAGAAAGUGUUUAUAGCCUUUGACUCCUGCAAUCGGAGAGACUGAGGUCUGCAGCGUAGAUCCUUCGGGGUUAGAUACAUUUGUGCUAAGUUAUAGCUUUUUAUAGACAACUUGUUGACUAUGAUUAGUCUUGUAGCUUACUCGCUUAUGCUAUUUUACCUACGCUUAGGAUGUUGACACACGCGCGUGCUCG
RNAcentral lists this ribosomal RNA (948 nucleotides) under uncultured Neocallimastigales. RNAcentral describes it as "partial large subunit ribosomal RNA". The stretch from base 152 to 948 matches the Rfam family "Eukaryotic large subunit ribosomal RNA", at positions 1 to 643 of the family's 3401-position model. The record is from RNAcentral. Lineage: Eukaryota; Fungi; Neocallimastigomycota; Neocallimastigomycetes; Neocallimastigales.